AUUGUAUAGACACUAGAAAUUCGUCCGCUCCUUCGAUUGCCUCCUGUUUCAAGGUGAAUCAUUGCAAACCACGCCACUAGCACUCCAACGACCACCGACAAUCAUAACAGCUCCCCUUUCCAUCGACCAUCGCCAUCAGGUUCACCGCCCACAAUGACCUUCACCACCGCCGUCACAGACCGUCUUCGACAUAUUAGUAACCACCACCGAACAUCCACCUUCACCUAUAUUACACCUAUACCUUAGUCUUAUCGUAUCUCUCCCUCUCUUAUUCUUUCAUCUGAUUUUGUUCAAUUGCUUCUUUUCUCUCUCUUGCUUCAUCGAUUCAGGUAAAGGCUUGAACCCCCUGUUUAAAUCUUCAUCAAUUGAUGGUGAUUUUCUAUUUCCAUUUAAGAUUUGGAUUUACGCUUCGCCUCUAUGUAUUCGUUUUUAUUCCCGUCAAUCAAUCAAAUAAUUAGAGUUCAAUUAUGCAACAUAAACAUAAUCGAUGGUUAGGCAGGUAUGAGAGGUUGGUCCCUAAAUACACUCAAUUUAAUGGACUUCAAGAACAAUUGAAUGCGAUUUUUUAAAAAAAAAGGCCUUAAUCAAAAGUUCAUAGUGGCAGAUCUUAUAAUUUGGAGAUGAUAUGGGUUAUUUGCAGGUGUUGCUUCUUCCCCAACCCUACAAAUGUCAAGAAAAAUGAAUGAUUAGUUUUCUAUUAAGAGCAUCAGUGAUCAGGAUGGCUAUGAGGUUCUUCAAAAAGAUGUGGAUGGGUAAAAUACAGUGAAGUUUUUUGUUCGCCUUUAAGAAACAACAAUGUACUUCCUUAUUUUUCGUUAUUAUAGCAUUAUACUUUUUUUUCUUAUUACCAUAUUGUACUUUGUUUACUAUGAUUUUUUUCUUGGGUGGGUAGAUUAAUUUGAUUUCUACAUUGUCUUUUGGAAUCCACUACAUUACAGACCUGAAAAUAUUAUAUAGUAUUAGUAUCUUUUGAAUUUGAUUUCAGUACCUUGUCAGAUUAUUUUUGGUGUGGGUAGUUGAUGUUGAUCAAGGAGUAGUUCUUAUUUCGGGGUGGAUAAGUUGGUUUAUUUAUCGGUUGUCUUAUUAUUUAUAAAGAGCACAUUAAAAGAAAG
Molecule: non-coding RNA, 1112 nt
Organism: Lactuca sativa (garden lettuce)
Lineage: Eukaryota; Viridiplantae; Streptophyta; Magnoliopsida; Asterales; Asteraceae
Source: RefSeq, a predicted model, not a curated record